CCUACGGGAGACAGCAGUGAGGAAUAUUGGUCAAUGGCCGUAAGGCUGAACCAGCCAAGUCGCGUGAAGGAAGAAGGAUCUAUGGUUUGUAAACUUCUUUUAUAGGGGAAUAAAGGUAUCCACGUGUGGAUAUUUGCAUGUACCCUAUGAAUAAGCAUCGGCGUACUUCGUGCCAGCAGCCGCGGUAAUACGGAGGAUGCGAGCGGUAUCCGGAUUUUUUGGGUUUAAAGGGGGCGUAGGUUGUUUUUUAAGUCAGCGGUGAAAGUUUGUGGCUCAACCAUAAUAUUGCCGUUGAAACUGGAAGACUUGAGUGUGUUUGAGGUAGGCGGAAUGCGUGGUGUAGCGGUGAAAUGCAUAGAUAUCACGCAGAACCCCGAUUGCGAAGGCAGCUUACUAAGCCAUAACUGACACUGAAGCACGAAAGCGUGGGGAUCGAACAGGAUUAGAUACCCGGGUAGUC
This 460-nucleotide ribosomal RNA is filed under the name uncultured bacterium. Its description in RNAcentral is "partial 16S ribosomal RNA". It matches the Rfam family "Bacterial small subunit ribosomal RNA", at positions 338 to 795 of the family's 1533-position model. The record is from RNAcentral.